Molecule: transfer RNA, 87 nt
Filed under: Planctomycetota bacterium
Lineage: Bacteria; Pseudomonadati; Planctomycetota
Description: Planctomycetes bacterium (bioreactor metagenome) tRNA-Leu
Rfam family: tRNA
About the family: Transfer RNA (tRNA) molecules are approximately 80 nucleotides in length. Their secondary structure includes four short double-helical elements and three loops (D, anti-codon, and T loops).
Source: RNAcentral
GGGCCCGUGGCGGAAUCGGCAGACGCAGCGGACUUAAAAUCCGCUUCCCCGUUGCGGGGAGUGUGGGUUCAAAUCCCACCGGGCCCA